Molecule: long non-coding RNA, 660 nt
Filed under: Elaeis guineensis (African oil palm)
Lineage: Eukaryota; Viridiplantae; Streptophyta; Magnoliopsida; Arecales; Arecaceae
Description: long non-coding RNA (EGUI_LNC036982)
Source: RNAcentral
AAUUACUAUUUUACAGUAGAAUUAUUAAUUAAUCUCAUUAAUUAAUACUAAUUAACCCUACACUAGGAUCUAAAUAUGAUACAACAGCAUGCAUUUAAAUUUGAAAUUCAAAUUUAAAACAGUAAACUUUUUACUGUACUGUGUUCAGAACACAUCACCUUUUAUGGGUAGUUGAUCACCGCAAUCUGAUCACUGUCAGGGGGCUCUGAUCGUCACAUCGUAGCCACACUAGUGUCUGGCCUCUGCGGAUCAUCCACAUGAAGCUCCCGUCUGAUCGGCUCCUCACGAAUGCUAGUUCAUGAUUUCACCCUUUUGAUGGUUGAUGUUGAUCGAAUCCUUCGAUCGAUGUGUGCCGACUCCUCGGAUGCUCCGGAUCGUCUGCACGGUUGGAUGAGAGGCUGAUGGAUCUCUUUCUGAAAUUUGGUGGACUCACGACACUCGUGGCACACCAAUUUCACUUCCCGAACCCUAGGUAGAAACCUUAGGGUACACACCAAAAACCCUGCGCCCACUUCUCUCUCCUUUUUCUCUCCUCUCGGUAAAUUUUGAACACUUCAAAAUUUUUUCAGAACCUCCCCACGCCCCUUAUCUCUUCUUUCUUUUUUUGCCCACGCCCCCUCCCUUUCUCAUUUUAUAAAACAUCGCAAGAGAUGUUGAAAG